AUUGAACGCUGGCGGCAGGCCUAACACAUGCAAGUCGGACGGUAGCACAGGGGAGCUUGCUCCUCGGGUGACGAGUGGCGGACGGGUGAGUAAUGUCUGGGGAUCUGCCCGAUAGAGGGGGAUAACCACUGGAAACGGUGGGUAAUACCGCACAACGUCGCAAGACCAAAGAGGGGGACAUUCGGGCCUCUCACUAUCGGAUGAACCCAGAUGGGAUUAGCUAGUAGGCGGGGUAACGGCCCACCUAGGCGACGAUCCCUAGCUGGCCUGAGAGGAUGACCAGCCACACUGGAACUGAGACACGGUCCAGACUCCUACGGGAGGCAGCAGUGGGGAAUAUUGCACAAUGGGCGCAAGCCUGAUGCAGCCAUGCCGCGUGUAUGAAGAAGGCCUUCGGGUUGUAAAGUACUUUCAGCGGGGAGGAAGGCGAUGUGGUUAAUAACCGCGUCGAUUGACGUUACCCGCAGAAGAAGCACCGGCUAACUCCGUGCCAGCCGCCGCAGUAA
This 506-nucleotide ribosomal RNA is filed under the name uncultured bacterium. Its description in RNAcentral is "partial 16S ribosomal RNA". It matches the Rfam family "Bacterial small subunit ribosomal RNA", at positions 29 to 523 of the family's 1533-position model. The record is from RNAcentral.